GCUGGGUGCGAUGGCUCAUGCCUGUAAUCCUAGCACUUUGGGAGGCUGAGGCAGGAGGAUCACUUGAGCCCAGGAGUUCAAGACUGACCUGGGCAACAUAGUAAGACUCUGUCUCUACAAAAAAUAAAAAAUUAGCUGGGCAUAGUGGCAUGUGCCUGUAGUCCCAGCUACUGGGGAGGCUAAGGUGAGAGAAUCACUUGAGCCCAGGAGGCCAAGGCUGAAGUGAACAGUGAUCAUGCCAUUGCAUUCCAGCCUGGGCAACAGAGUGAGCCCCUGUCUCU
This 281-nucleotide small RNA is filed under the name Nomascus leucogenys (northern white-cheeked gibbon). RNAcentral describes it as "Metazoan signal recognition particle RNA (ENSNLEG00000034560.1)". The record is from RNAcentral. Lineage: Eukaryota; Metazoa; Chordata; Mammalia; Primates; Hylobatidae.